Molecule: ribosomal RNA, 327 nt
Filed under: uncultured eukaryote
Lineage: Eukaryota
Description: partial 18S ribosomal RNA
Rfam family: Eukaryotic small subunit ribosomal RNA
Source: RNAcentral
CCCUUAGAUGUUCUGGGCCGCACGCGCGCUACACUGACGAAUGCAACGAGCUUAUAACCUUGGCCGAAAGGUCUGGGUAAUCUCCAAAUUUCGUCGUGAUGGGGAUAGCUUAUUGCAAUUAUUAAUCUUCAACGAGGAAUGCCUAGUAAGCGCAAGUCAUCAGCUUGCGUUGAUUACGUCCCUGCCCUUUGUACACACCGCCCGUCGCUCCUACCGAUUGAAUGGUCCGGUGAAGCGUUCGGACCGUGGCCUUUGGACGGUUCGCCGUCUGUUGGCUGCGGGAAGUUCGUUAAACCUUAUCAUUUAGAGGAAGGAGAAGUCGUAACA